CCGCCGAGCGGUCUAGCUCCACAUCAACUACUACUUGGCCGUCAGCUUCGACCCUUUUGGUUGGAUGGACCAAACGCCGUCGAAAUCUUGUGGCCACCAGAUACAUGAGCACUGCCAGGUACAGGAACCGAAGCAUAAACGGCAGCAUCAACGGCAGGGUGAUGAGCCAGCGCGGUGGCGCCGCCGUCGUGGAGCGCUACCCGCGCGAGGCCAGCCUCCAUCGCCACCGUGAGCACCACGAACGCCACCUGCAAGUCUGCAACGCGCACAGAUGACAGAGGGCAAGCCUUGCGGAAGGGUCUCAUGGGCCGGAGGGGCAGCUCGUCGACGUGCCGCAAGGGGUCCCAGCAGGGCUUGUCGCCGGCGUCAACGGCGCUCUCGUCGGCGUCGUAGUCGGCGACCUCGAGGAUGAGGUCGCCUGAUGAGCUCGCGGUUAUUAGGUCUUCGGAGGCCUCGAGGACGAAGUAACAAGGUGCGCCGGAUCCGUCGCCGCCGGAGACGACGACGGAGUAGUCGACGGCCGGCCGAGGCAUGAACAUCGACGGCGGAGGGCAGACAUGAAGCGCGCAUACAUUUUGACCAUACAUGAAGAAGUUCAUGUCCUUAUUCACAAAAGAAGAAGAAGAAGUUCAUGUCCAUUUCUUGGGCAUAUAGUUAAUA
This is a long non-coding RNA of Setaria italica (foxtail millet), 660 nucleotides long. RefSeq lists it as uncharacterized. NCBI's taxonomy places the organism in Eukaryota, Viridiplantae, Streptophyta, Magnoliopsida, Poales, Poaceae. The record is from RefSeq and is a predicted model, not a curated record. The transcript has 2 exons.